CCGGUUAUAUAGACUUAUAUAGCGCAGCAGGGGGAGAGAUAUAUAGAAGCUCUGCCGGGCAAGACAUUGGGGUGUAGCACCGGUGUGAGACCUGCCCUUUAAAAGGACCCAUGCACACUACGGAAUUUCCCACCCAGAGAUUCCUCAUGCAGCAGGUGCCAACAGAAUGAAUCAGCGAUAUAAAAGCCCCAACAUGUGCCAUCCCCAUUGAAGGCAAUGCAGUUCUGGGCAGAAUUCUGCAGAUGGAUUGCCAUGACAGAAAUUCUGCAGCGUGCAAAGUGCAGCAGAAUCACAUUGAAGACUGCUGCACUGAAAUCUCCGGAGGCGUACCUAAAGCUUAAAAAACUUCUGACAUGUCAAAAGAUUUAAUCGGUGAUGGUGUUGGUGCAGAGAACACGAUAGCUAAAAUGAACAUUCAGCAGUACCCGUCCCUGCAGGGCUCUACACUGAGAGCAGUGUACAGCUUAGAAAAA
Long non-coding RNA from Hyla sarda, 473 nucleotides. RefSeq lists it as uncharacterized. NCBI's taxonomy places the organism in Eukaryota, Metazoa, Chordata, Amphibia, Anura, Hylidae. The transcript has 2 exons. The record is from RefSeq and is a predicted model, not a curated record.